This 1905-nucleotide long non-coding RNA is filed under the name Anolis carolinensis (green anole). Its description in RNAcentral is "lncRNA (ENSACAG00000042293.1)". The record is from RNAcentral. Lineage: Eukaryota; Metazoa; Chordata; Lepidosauria; Squamata; Anolidae.
AUGUUGUCAGAGAGAGAGAGAAGGGAACUAGAAUUUGAUACCAUCAUGAAUGAUUUAUCUAACAAAAUAUCAGAAGGUCAGGCAGAAGAAGACCCUGCCUCCCUUAUGGAAACUGUUGAUGAAGAACAAGUGCAACACAUGUUUAGUAAAGACACAGAUACAAAGUCAAACAGGUCUGUGUGUACAUUAGCAGGCAAAUCAAGAUCAUCUCACACAUCCCAUAGAACAGAAAGAACAAGAGGGACUUCUGUUCAUAGUGGUUCUUCUGGCCAAUCCCUUAGUUUGGUCAUAAAGGCUAGGGCCGAGGCAGCUGCCGCAGUAAAACAAAUAGAGUUUCUUAAGAAAAGACAGCAAAUUGUUGCAGAGAAGGCAGAACUUGAUGCCUUGGCCGCUGCCAAGAAGGCAGAAAUGGAAGCCGCAGCCGCUGCCAAGAAGGCAGAAAUGGAAGCCACAGCUGCCACCAAACAAGCAAGACUGGAUGCAGAAAAUAAGGCCCGUCAAGUUAAAACAGAAGCUGCUUUAGCAACGUUAGCACAGGUUGCAAAGGCUGAGGUGUUACAAGUAAAGGCCUCAGUCCUAGAGCAAGGUCUCUUAGGAAAUACAUCCCCUCCAGAUGUUACAACAGAAGAUCCUGUCACAAAGGUGGAUUCUUAUUUAAAUACCCAAAUUAUCAAUAUCGCAGCCCCUCCUGUGCUAACAAGAGAAAGUGCAGUAGCAAAUAAUUCUUUUGUGUCACAACCAGAAAUCAUAGAGGUUUCUGCACCCAAAGAACAUUAUUUGCCGUAUGCAGAAGUAACAAGUCAAGCAGCAGUUCCAUUGCAUGAUAUAUCUCAAACCAAGUUAGAGCACAGCCUUCCAGUAGAUACACAGGACUUAAUACAGUCAAACUACACAAUGCCAACAACUGCAUUCAGUCUCAAUCCCAAAGCAGCUAGUUGGGUUCCAGAGAACCCCCAGAUCCAAACUAACUCUGAACCAGCUUUGCAACAGUCCUCAGUCCCACUUGAUAUUUUAAAUUACACCUUCUAUAGAAACCCAAGAAGAGACUUAGCAGACAGAGGCAUUCAAAAAUUCUCUGAUAAGCCAGAAGAUUAUAUGUUGUGGAAGAAUACAUUUCAGUCAGCUCUCAAGCAACUAAAAUUGCCUGUAGAGGAAGAGUUAAAUUUAUUGAUCGCCUGGUUGGGACCUGCUUCUUCCAUACAGGUGAAGAGAAUUUAUGCAGCAAACAUAAAUAACCCACAUGCAGCUUUAAAUCGAGUGUGGGACCGUCUCAAUGAACGUUAUGGAUCAUCUGCACAGAUAGAAACGUUGCUUCUGCAAAAGCUUAAAUCAUUUCCUGCAUUUACAAAAGGGGAAUAUGAGAAAUUAUGGGAUUAUGCAGAUUUGCUUGAAGAAUUGGAAGCAGCUAAGGGAAAUCCAGAUUUACCAGGGCUUGCAUGUUUAGAUCAAUAUUUAACACAACAAGAGAUUAUUGAUAAACUGCCUUUCUCACUGAAGGAGGUAUGGGGCCGGGAAGUUUUCUCUUAUAAAGAAACUCAUCAACGGAAAUACCCACCAUUUACACAUCUCGUGAAGUUUCUCUUAAGAUCAGCUAGAGAGAAGAAUGAUUUGCAAACGGGGUUUCCUCUUUUAUAUCAAAGUAAUAAAAAGGAUAAGAAACAUUUCAUAGAAACCAAAAGCAAACCACAAGUCACAGUUAGAAAAACUGAAACCAAGGUCAAAUCAGUUGAACAUCACACAAAGACAUCAGCAGGAGUAAUAUGUCCAGUACACCAAAUAGCACAUAUUCUGAAUAACUGCAAAGAAUUCAGGAGCAAACCUUAUGAAGAGCGUUUAACCUUUGCCAGAGAUCAAAGACUUUGUUUUAAAUGUGGUACUUUUAGAAACCACAUAGCCAAGGAGUGA